Molecule: ribosomal RNA, 756 nt
Filed under: uncultured fungus
Lineage: Eukaryota; Fungi
Description: eukaryotic LSU rRNA
Rfam family: 5.8S ribosomal RNA (bases 185-339)
Source: RNAcentral
GGCUGUUGCUGGUCCUCGAAUGGGGACAUGUGCACGCUCUGUUUACACAUCCACUCACACCUGUGCACCCUCUGUAGUUUUACGGUCUGGGGGACCCUGUCUUCCUUCUGUAGUUCUACGUCUUUACACACACACUGUAAUAAAGUCUUAUGGAAUGUAUGCCGCGUCUAACGCAACACAAUACAACUUUCAGCAACGGAUCUCUUGGCUCUCGCAUCGAUGAAGAACGCAGCGAAAUGCGAUAAGUAAUGUGAAUUGCAGAAUUCAGUGAAUCAUCGAAUCUUUGAACGCACCUUGCGCCCCUUGGAUAUUCCGAGGGGCAUGCCUGUUUGAGUAUCAUGAACACCUCAACUCUCAUGGUUUGCCGUGACGAGCUUGGACCUUGGGGGUUUUGCUGGCCUGUGGUCGGCUCCUCUCAAAUGAAUCAGCCUCCCAGUGUUUGGUGGCAUCACGAGUGUGAUAACUAUCUACUCUCGCGGUUGCCCACCAGGUAACCUUUGGUGACAAAGGUUCGCUGGAGCUCACAGAUGUCUCUCCUUAGCGAGGACAGCUUUUUAACGUUCGAUCUCAAAUCAGGUAGGACUACCCGCUGAACUUAAGCAUAUCAAUAAGCGGAGGAAAAGAAACUAACAAGGAUUCCCCUAGUAACUGCGAGUGAAGCGGGAAGAGCUCAAAUUUAAAAUCUGGCGUGCCUCUGGUCGUCCGAGUUGUAGUCUARARAAGUGUUUUCCGUGCUGGACCGUGUACAAAGUCUCC